RNAcentral lists this ribosomal RNA (626 nucleotides) under Gymnothorax flavimarginatus (yellow-edged moray). Its description in RNAcentral is "partial 16S ribosomal RNA subunit". It matches the Rfam family "Bacterial large subunit ribosomal RNA", at positions 1797 to 2619 of the family's 2925-position model. Lineage: Eukaryota; Metazoa; Chordata; Actinopteri; Anguilliformes; Muraenidae. The record is from RNAcentral.
CGCCUGUUUAUCAAAAACAUCGCCUCUUGCUAACAAUAAAGUAUCAGAGGUCCCGCCUGCCCUGUGACAGCAAUGUUUAACGGCCGCGGUAUUUUAACCGCGCGAAGGUAGCGUAAUCACUUGUCUUUUAAAUGGAGACCUGUAUGAAUGGCAUAACGAGGGUUUAACUGUCUCCUCCCCCCAGUCAAUGAAAUAGAUCUGCCCGUGCAGAAGCGGGCAUAAUAACAUAAGACGAGAAGACCCUAUGGAGCUUUAGGCAAAUGAUCACGCACACCAAGCCCUAUUUCUUACUACUAAAAUCCGGGUAAAACAAACGCUAAUGAUCAAUCCGCCUUCGGUUGGGGCGACCGCGGAGGAAAGAAAAGCCUCCGAGUGGAACGGGAUAACCCUUAAACUAAGAAAAACAAUUCUAAGCAACAGAAGUUCUGACCAAAUGUGACCCAGGACAAACCUGAUCAACGAACCAAGUUACCCUAGGGAUAACAGCGCAAUCCUCUCCCAGAGUCCAUAUCGACGAGAGGGUUUACGACCUCGAUGUUGGAUCAGGACAUCCUAAUGGUGCAGCCGCUAUUAAGGGUUCGUUUGUUCAACGAUUAAUAGUCCUACGUGAUCUGAGUUCAGACCGG